Molecule: ribosomal RNA, 1186 nt
Filed under: Triticum aestivum (bread wheat)
Lineage: Eukaryota; Viridiplantae; Streptophyta; Magnoliopsida; Poales; Poaceae
Description: partial small subunit ribosomal RNA
Source: RNAcentral
UAUGUGCAUGCAAUACGGUGGAUAUGAUGAGGUUGGAUGCAUUAUGAGGGACAUUUACAAUUUCUGCCAUGCUAACAAGCAGGAAACAAUUUCUUCCGGGGAUGCUCAAACAAUGAUCAAUCACAUGGUCGCGAGGCAAGAGCAAGAUUCAGAUUUUUUCUUUAGGUACUUGGUUGAUGAAGCUGGCCAUCUGAAGGGACUGUUAUGGUGUGAUAGUCAAUCCCGACUUGACUACGAGGCUUUCGGAGACGUUAUUGUUUUUGAUAGCACAUACAAAACCAAUAAGUACAAUCUGCCAUUUGUGCCGUUUGUCGGGUUGAAUCACCACCGCAACACCAUUAUUUUUGCAUGUGGCAUCAUUUCACAUGAAACAAGCCAGGCAUACGAGUGGAUGUUACGGACCUUUUCUGAUGCUAUGGGACAGAAGCAUCCUAUAUCUGUGAUCACGGAUGGGGACCUUGCAAUGCAAAGAGCAAUCAGGGUGGUGUGGCCUGACUCAAACCAUAGGCUCUGUAUAUGGCACAUUCAGCAGAACAUUGUACGCCAUCUGCAUGAUGACGCGGUAAAGGAGGAAUUCCGAUCUUUCAUAUAUGAUACAUCUUCCAUUGAAGAGCAUGAGAUAAAAUGGUUACACUUCUUACAACGGAAUAAAGUAACAAGUGAGGACUCCUGGCUGCAUCAUAUGUAUAAGAUGAGAAAACUAUGGUGUGCUCCAUAUCUUGAGGGCCGUUGUUUCCUAGGAUUGAGCAGCAAUCAGCGGAGUGAGAGUUUAAACUCAGUGCUACAUACGCAUCUUGAGGCUAAGAUGACGUUGUUUCAAAUGCUAGAGCACUAUGAGCGUUGCCUUGCGUCGCGACGCUUGAAUGAGGCUCUCCAAGACGUCGAGGCCUUGCAGCCCGUUCCGUUCAUAGAGGAAAAUGCUUCAGUUCUUGAGAAACACGCCGCGAAAGUUUUCACUUCUGCUGUGUUUAAGUUGGUCAUAUGGAGUAUAGAUGUUGUCAAAAAAUGUGAGAUCAGAGAGGUACUUGAUGCAGCAGAGGUUACCACAUACGUUGUGUCUAAGAAGGAAAUAAUGGAUAAAAAGAUCGAAGUGCGCACGGAGUCAAAGGAAGGUAUGCUUCGCAGUAUCAGUUGUUCUUGCCGCAAAUUAGAAUGCGCAGGCACACCAUGUUCCCACAUAUUUUAA